Molecule: transfer RNA, 77 nt
Filed under: Candidatus Dojkabacteria bacterium
Lineage: Bacteria
Description: tRNA-Met
Rfam family: tRNA
About the family: Transfer RNA (tRNA) molecules are approximately 80 nucleotides in length.
Source: RNAcentral
GGCGGGGUAGCUCAGAAGGUUAGAGCGGGAGAUUCAUAAACUCCAGGUCGGCAGUUCGAUUCUGCCCCCCGUCACCA